CUAGAUCAUCAUCAGAUCAUCACCAUUUCAACCAUCUCCGGCUACUCUUCGACUUCUCUCCCCGAUCUCCUUCUCCAACCUCUCAUUCCAAACUUCGAUUCCAAGAGAUCCCCCACCCCCAAUUAACCCAACAAAAAAAAAUCACAGAUUAUCAGAGGAAGGGAGAGAGCAAAAAAGGAAGAGGGAGCAUCGACACCGAUGAGUUGCCACUAGCGACCCACCUUCUUCCUCUCACCAAAUCUAAUUGUCUUACCGACGACCCGCCAAUCUGAAAUGGGGGUGGUUAAUUAACAGAGCUGGGGGGCCGAGAUAGGUUUGACAUCGGGAGCGAAACAUGUCUGAGAAAGGGGCUUGUGUCUUGAGAUCUGAAAUUGGGUGGUUGGUUGGCGUUCGAAUCUAAAAGGAUGAUGAAUUGAGAUGGUUGAGAAGAUCAUAAUCGGAGUUUGGAAGGAGAGGUUGGAGAAGGAGAUCAGGGAGAGAAGUCGAAGAGUAGCCGGAGAUGGUUGAGAUGGUGAUGAUCUUUUGAUGAUCUAGGGUUUCUUCAAUGAAGGGCGAGAGAAGAAGAUGAUGAUGAUGAUUUGAUUUUUUUUAGGGUAAAUUGCACUGGUGAUCUAAAAAGUUUUACAAAUAUUACAAUAUAGUACAUAUUUCACGGGUUUUGGCAACCUUCUGUGAAUCCAACUCGGCUUGAUGGCGUCAAUCGCCAGAUGACGGUAUGUAUUAUACCGAAACAACUUUGAAAGAUUGUGUACCAUUAAGUAGCAAAAAAAACUGUUUGUACCAUAUUGUAACAUUUGUAAAACUUUUUGGACCACCAGUGCAAUUUACCCAUGUAAAAGUGAACAAGAUGAAUAUGAUGAAGACUGAAUAGAGGGUGUAGAGUUGAAUUUUA
Molecule: non-coding RNA, 892 nt
Organism: Punica granatum (pomegranate)
Lineage: Eukaryota; Viridiplantae; Streptophyta; Magnoliopsida; Myrtales; Lythraceae
Source: RefSeq, a predicted model, not a curated record